UUCACCCCGUUGUUGGCCAGACUGGUCUCGAACUCCUGACCUCAGGUGAUCUGCCAGCCUCAGCUUCCCAAAGUGCUGGUAUUACAGGCAUGAGCCACUGCACCCAGCUGGAAACCUUUUAAGGGAGAAACUUACUAAUAAGUUGCUUCCUGUCCUUGGGCUUAUAGACUUAAUCUAGAAUUGAUUUUUCUUUGACUUUCUUCAUCAGAGUUAUGUUUUCGUAACUUAAUGACUAACCAAGAAUGUGUUAUAACUGUUGAAGCCCCUUUUGACAUAGUUUACCCCUUCUGCUAUUACUUAGGAUUGAUAGUAAUUAAUCUCUAGGGCAAAAGAUGACUGGAAAAUUGCUCUGGGUUCUUCUUAUAUAACAUCAUAUAAGACCUGUUCGCCUAAAAUCUGUACUCUGAUCUGCACUUGCAGAGCCUCUCAAUUGUUGAUUUCUUUUUCCCUGCCUUGUUGGAAAGAAAGGAGAAUUUUUCUGCCCCCACCCUUGACCCUGCUUGGGUUCACAGCAUUGGUGGAGGUGGGGUUGUCAUUGUGAAACUUAAGAUCUUCAAAGAAGAGAAUGUAAUUUAUACCAUGGAUAUGUAAUUUUUUCAUGUUGGAGCACUGUAAUGCUUUCGUUUUGCUUUCUUACUCAGUUUAAAUAAAAUUUUUAAUUCUUA
Piliocolobus tephrosceles (Ugandan red Colobus) is the source of this 665-nucleotide long non-coding RNA. RefSeq lists it as uncharacterized. Lineage: Eukaryota; Metazoa; Chordata; Mammalia; Primates; Cercopithecidae. The record is from RefSeq and is a predicted model, not a curated record. The transcript has 3 exons.